This 466-nucleotide ribosomal RNA is filed under the name uncultured bacterium. RNAcentral describes it as "bacterial SSU rRNA". It matches the Rfam family "Bacterial small subunit ribosomal RNA", at positions 328 to 792 of the family's 1533-position model. The record is from RNAcentral.
GAUCCAGACUCCUACGGGAGGCAGCAGUGAGGAAUAUUGGUCAAUGGUCGGGAGACUGAACCAGCCAAGCCGCGUGAGGGAGGAAGGUACAGAGUAUCGUAAACCUCUUUUGUCAGGGAACAAAGGCGGGGACGUGUCCCCGGAUGAGUGUACCUGAAGAAAAAGCAUCGGCUAACUCCGUGCCAGCAGCCGCGGUAAUACGGAGGAUGCGAGCGUUAUCCGGAUUUAUUGGGUUUAAAGGGUGCGCAGGCGGAGGCACAAGUCAGCGGUAAAAUCGCGGGGCUCAACCCCGCUCCGCCGUUGAAACUGUGUCCCUUGAGUGCGCGAAGGGUAGGCGGAAUGCGUGGUGUAGCGGUGAAAUGCAUAGAUAUCACGCAGAACUCCGAUUGCGAAGGCAGCAUACCGGCGCUCAACUGACGCUCAUGCACGAAAGCGUGGGUAUCGAACAGGAUUAGAUACCCCGGUA